Molecule: ribosomal RNA, 460 nt
Filed under: uncultured bacterium
Lineage: Bacteria
Description: partial 16S ribosomal RNA
Rfam family: Bacterial small subunit ribosomal RNA
Source: RNAcentral
CCUACGGGAGGCAGCAGUGAGGAAUAUUGGUCAAUGGACGAGAGUCUGAACCAGCCAAGUAGCGUGAAGGAUGACUGCCCUAUGGGUUGUAAACUUCUUUUAUAUGGGAAUAAAAUGUUCCACGUGUGGGAGGUUGGAGGUACCAGAUGAAUAAGGAUCGGCUAACUCCGUGCCAGCAGCCGCGGUAAUACGGAGGAUCCGAGCGUUAUCCGGAUUUAUUGGGUUUAAAGGGAGCGUAGGUGGAUUGUUAAGUCAGUUGUGCAAGUUUGCGGCUCACCCGUACAAUUGCAGUUGAAACUGGCAGUCUGUAUUACAGUAGAGUUGGGCGGAAUUCGUGGUGUAGCGGUGAAAUGCUUAGAUAUCACGAAGAACUCCGAUUGCGAAGGCAGCUCACUGGACUACAACUGACACUACUUCUCGAAAGUGUGGGUAUCAAACAGGAUUAGAUACCCGAGUAGUC